RNAcentral lists this ribosomal RNA (433 nucleotides) under uncultured bacterium. RNAcentral describes it as "partial 16S ribosomal RNA". It matches the Rfam family "Bacterial small subunit ribosomal RNA", at positions 29 to 507 of the family's 1533-position model. The record is from RNAcentral.
AACGAACGCUGGCGGCAGGCCUAACACAUGCAAGUCGAGCGCGCCCUUCGGGGUGAGCGGCGGACGGGUGAGUAACGCGUGGGAACGUGCCCUUUUCUACGGAAUAGCCUCGGGAAACUGAGAGUAAUACCGUAUACGCCCUUUGGGGGAAAGAUUUAUCGGAAAAGGAUCGGCCCGCGUUGGAUUAGGUAGUUGGUGGGGUAAUGGCCUACCAAGCCGACGAUCCAUAGCUGGUUUGAGAGGAUGAUCAGCCACACUGGGACUGAGACACGGCCCAGACUCCUACGGGAGGCAGCAGUGGGGAAUCUUAGACAAUGGGGGCAACCCUGAUCUAGCCAUGCCGCGUGAGUGAUGAAGGCCUUAGGGUUGUAAAGCUCUUUCAGCUGGGAAGAUAAUGACGGUACCAGCAGAAGAAGCCGCGGCUAACUCCGUG